AGGGAGUAGAAAAAUCGUACAAGUAAUUUUUAUACUGGUUCGAUUCAAAAGAAUCUACGUCCAGUCGUUAAUCAGUAUAUACAGUGAUUAACAGUUCCACUAAAAAGAUGUUUCUCAAAUUGUAAUUAUAGUGAAUGAAAAGCAAAUAAAUAAACCUUCCUUCGACGAGCGAACCGGAAGAAGAUCACUCUGCCAACUCGAAGAGAACCUCUCCGACAAUCGACCAACGAUUCGCGAGCUUCUCCUGUUCACGAGACCAGGCAGAGCACCUUGCUAACUCGAAGAGAGUCUGCUCCGGCUAUCGACACCCG
This 311-nucleotide long non-coding RNA is filed under the name Vigna radiata. Its description in RNAcentral is "long non-coding RNA (VRAD_LNC001726)". Lineage: Eukaryota; Viridiplantae; Streptophyta; Magnoliopsida; Fabales; Fabaceae. The record is from RNAcentral.